This is a long non-coding RNA of Jaculus jaculus (lesser Egyptian jerboa), 515 nucleotides long. RefSeq lists it as uncharacterized. The record is from RefSeq and is a predicted model, not a curated record. NCBI's taxonomy places the organism in Eukaryota, Metazoa, Chordata, Mammalia, Rodentia, Dipodidae. The transcript is spliced from 4 exons.
ACUGGGGUUACAGACGGGUGUGGCCAUACCCAGGUGUUUCUAUGUGGGUUCUGCGGAUUCGAACUCAGGCAGUUUCGGGCUUCCUCAGACCAUCAUACUCCCAGACCUGAGAAGGAGUUAACUGAGCAGAGAUACCUGAGCCAAACUUUAGAUCCGCAGCUGAAACCAAGCGGCGCCAGCCAGCCCAGUCAGAAGCGAGGCAUGAUGACACUUGUAUACCACCGAGAUGUGAGCUUGUUCCACAUCAAAAGCUGACCAAUCCACAGCCAGCUGCUCACGGGACCGUGUUUUAUACUACACACCCCUAAAGGAUUGUCAACGUUGGCGCCAGCUUUCUGGUUAAAGUUGUCCUCCUAUCUUAUGUUGUCACAUAGCAGACCUUGGAGGUCCCCGUGCCGCCUAAAGUCACCGCCGUCAUGAAAACAGUGGCAGCGUCCUGUGCAUCUUAUGUUCAAGUAUAUCUCCAGUGACUUCACUGAUUGUUUUCAGAUGGAAAACCAACCCGACAUCCCUGG